Molecule: ribosomal RNA, 1246 nt
Filed under: metagenome
Description: SSU rRNA
Rfam family: Eukaryotic small subunit ribosomal RNA
Source: RNAcentral
AGUCUGGUGCCAGCAGCCGCGGUAAUUCCAGCUCCAAUAGUGUAUAUUAUGGUUGCUGUAGUUAAAACGCUCGUAGCUGGAUUUCGGAAUGCGUUCGACCAAAGCCCGUCUAAACGGCGUGGCUCGGUGGGUGCUUCCAUGUUUUUAGGUUUCCAACGGCGCUGUCACUUCGGUGGUGGCUGUCCGUUCCUAAUCGUUUACUGUGAACAAAUUAGAGCGUUCAAAGCAGGUGUCUCUGCCUUGAAUAGUUUAGCAUGGGAUAAUAGAAUAGGACCGUUACCGGUUUUAUUUUGUUGGUUUCUAAAGCUGGGGUAAUGAUUAAUAGGGACAGUUGGGGUCGGUCGUAUUGAAUCGUCAGAGGUGAAAUUCUAGGAUUGAUUCAAGACGAACUGAUGCGAAAGCGUCCGACAAGGAUGUUUCCGUUAAUCAAGAACGAAAGUUGGGGGAUCGAAGAUGAUCAGAUACCGUCGUAGUCCUAACCCUAAACGAUGUGGACCAAGGAUCCGAGGAUGUUACAUGGAUGACUCUCCGGGCACUUUGUGAGAAAUCAUUGAGUAUUUGCACUCCGGGGGGAGUAUGGCCGCAAGACUGAAACUUAAAGGAAUUGACGGAAGGGCACCACCAGGAGUGGAAUCUGCGGCUUAAUUCGACUCAACACGGGAAACUUCACCAGGUCCGGACACAGUAAGGAUUGGCAGAUUGAGAGCUCUUUCUUGAUUCUGUGGUUGGUGGUGCAUGGCCGUUUUUAGUUGGUGGAUUGAUUUGUCUUGAUAAUUCAGAUAACGAGCGAGACCUCAUCCUGCUAAUUAGUGAUGCGAACGUGGGCAUUCUUCGGAGUGUCCUCCUAGUUCGUGGGCAACUUCUUAGAGGGACUCUCGGCGUCUUUAGCCGAUGGAAGUCUGAGGCAAAAACAGGUCUGUGAUGCCCUUAGAUGUCCUGGGCUGCACGCGCGUUACACUGGCAGUUGCAACGAGUUCUUUCCUGCCUCGGAAGGGGUGGGUAAACUUUGUAGGGGCUGCCGUGAUUGGGAUUGAUCCUUGCAAUUAUUAUCAUGAACGAGGAAUUCCUAGUAAGCGCAGUUCAUCAAACUGUGCUGAUUACGUCCCUGCCCUUUGUACACACCGCCCGUCGCUUGUACCGAUUGAAUGGUCCGGUGAGGACUUAGGACUAGUGAUUUUAGCUUCCCGCAAGGGAGGCGGGUCGCUGGGAGUUUGUUCAAACCUUACCAUUUAGAGGAACAAGAAGU